CGAGGAUUUGAUCCUGGUCCAGGAUGAACGCUGGCGGCGUGGAUAAGGCAUGCAAGUCGAGCGGACCUUACUUUGAUCUUGGUUUGAAGCACCGAGAGUAGCAAUACAAUUUGUGCGGAUGGCCGAGGGAUUUGUUUGGUUAGCGGCGAACGAGUUAGUAACACCUUGGUUACGUACCCUGAAGUCGGGUAUAGCCCACCGAAAGGUGGGGUAAUCCCCGAUGGUCUCGCAAGAGUAAACCCGCAAGGGGCUUCAGGAUCGACCUAGGUCCGAUCAGCUAGUUGGUAGGGUAACGGCCUACCAAGGCUAUGACCGGUAGGGGAGGUGAGAGCCUGACCCCCAACGACGAGACUGAGACACGGCUCGUACUCCUACGGGAGGCAGCAGUCGAGAAUAUACCCUGCGGAAAGAGGUUGGUAACUACGUGCCAGCACCCGCGGUAAUACGUAGACCUCAAGCGUUAUCCGGAUUUAUUGGGCGUAAAGCGCGUGUAGGGGGCCCGGCGCGUCUUCCGUUAAAGCCCACCGCCCAACGGUGGAAGUGCGGAGGAUACGGCCGGACUAGAGGAAGUUAGAGGUGCAUGGAACGCACGGUGUAGGGGUGAAAUCCGUUGAUAUCGUGCGGAACACCAAAGGCGAAGGCAGUGCACUGGGACUCUCCUGACCCUGAGACGCGAAAGCGUGGGGAGCAAAAAGGAUUAGAUACCCUUGUAGUCCACGCCCUAAACGAUGCCUGCUUGCUGUUUCGAGUAUCGACCCUCGGGGUGGCGUAGCUAACGCGUUAAGCAGGCCGCCUGGGAAGUACGGCCGCAAGGCUAAAACUCAAAGGAAUAGACGGGGACUCGCACAAGCGGUGGAGCAUGAGGUUUAGGGGUAACGAACGCAACCCCUAUCCGGUGUUGGGAGGAAGGAGGGGAUGACGUCAAAUCCGCAUGGCCCUUUGAUACCCUGGGCUACACUCAUGCUACAAUGGCCGAGACAAUGGGUUGCCAAGCCGUAAGGCGGAGCUAAUCCCAUCAAACUCGGUCCCAGUUCGGAUUGGGGGCUGCAACUCGUCCCCAUGAAGUUGGAAUCGCUAGUAAUCGCGUAUCAGCCACGACGCGGUGAAUACGUUCUCGAGUCCUGUACUCACUGCCCGUCAAGCCAAGGGAGCCGGGAAGAGGUGAAGAUCGCUUCGGCGGUUCAGCCUUAGCUCGGUAACAUGGGCUAAGUCGUAACAAGGCACGCGUAGCGGAAGCUGUGCGUGGAUCAA
Molecule: ribosomal RNA, 1251 nt
Filed under: Parcubacteria group bacterium GW2011_GWA1_59_11
Lineage: Bacteria
Description: bacterial SSU rRNA
Rfam family: Bacterial small subunit ribosomal RNA
Source: RNAcentral